ACCAACAGGAUUGCCUCAGUAACGGCGAGUGAAGCGGCAAAAGCUCAAAUUUGAAAUCCCCCGGGGAAUUGUAAUUUGAAGAUUGUGUUUUGGAAACGACCGUGUCUAUGUUCCUUGGAACAGGACGUCACAGAGGGUGAGAAUCCCGUGCGGCACGGCCACCGUUUCCUUAUAAAACACUCUCGACGAGUCGAGUUGUUUGGGAAUGCAGCUCAAAGUGGGUGGUAAAUUCCAUCUAAAGCUAAAUACAGGCGAGAGACCGAUAGCGAACAAGUACAGUGAUGGAAAGAUGAAAAGCACUUUGAAAAGAGAGUGAAACAGUACGUGAAAUUGUUGAAAGGGAAGGGCAUGCCGUCAGAUUGUCAGUGUGGGUAAGAAGCGGGGUACAAAGACUGUGGAACGUGGCCCUCGGGUGUUAUAGCCACAGUUCAUCCCCCGUCUCUUUCCGAGGCCUGCAUUGAGGACACCGACGUAAUGACGGUACGCCGCCCGUCUUGAAACACGGA
This 506-nucleotide ribosomal RNA is filed under the name uncultured Candida. Its description in RNAcentral is "eukaryotic LSU rRNA". It matches the Rfam family "Eukaryotic large subunit ribosomal RNA", at positions 64 to 665 of the family's 3401-position model. The record is from RNAcentral. Lineage: Eukaryota; Fungi; Ascomycota; Saccharomycetes; Saccharomycetales.